AUUGAACGCUGGCGGCAGGCCUAACACAUGCAAGUCGAACGAGUGGCGGACGGGUGAGUAAUGUCUGGGAAACUGCCUGUUGGAGGGGGAUAACUACUGGAAACGGUAGCUAAUACCGCAUACCAUCGGAUUUGCCCAGAUCGGAUUCUCUAGUAGGUGGGGUAAAGGCUCACCUAGGCGACGAUCCCUAGCUGGUCUGAGAGGAUGACCAGCCACACUGGAACUGAGACACGGUCCAGACUCCUACGGGAGGCAGCAGUGGGGAAUAUUGCACAAUGGGCGAAAGCCUGAUGCAGCCAUGCCGCGGGGAUGAAGAAGGCCUUCGGGUUGUAAAGUACUUUCAGCGGGGAGGCGGUACCCGCAGAAGAAGCACCGACUAACUCCGUGCCAGCAGCCGCGGUAAUAC
This 406-nucleotide ribosomal RNA is filed under the name uncultured bacterium. Its description in RNAcentral is "partial 16S ribosomal RNA". It matches the Rfam family "Bacterial small subunit ribosomal RNA", at positions 30 to 526 of the family's 1533-position model. The record is from RNAcentral.